GUGGGGAAUAUUGGACAAUGGGCGAAAGCCUGAUGGAGCAACGCCGCGUGAAGGAUGAAGGUCUUCGGAUUGUAAACUUCUUUUAUGAGUGAAGAAUAUGACGGUAACUCAUGAAUAAGCACCGGCUAACUACGUGCCAGCAGUCGCGGUCAUACGUAGGGUGCAAGCAUUAUCCGGAGUGACUGGGCGUAAAGAGUUGCGUAGGCGGCUUAUUAAGCGAGUAGUGAAAUCUGGUGGCUCAACCACACAGACUAUUAUUCGAACUGCAUAACUCGAGAAUGGUAGAGGUAACUGGAAUUUCUUGUGUAGGAGUGAAAUCCGUAGAUAUAAGAAGGAACACCAAUGGCGUAGGCAGGUUACUGGGCCAUUUCUGACGCUAAGGCACGAAAGCGUGGGGAGCGAACCGGAUUAGAAACCCCUGUAGUCC
This 427-nucleotide ribosomal RNA is filed under the name uncultured bacterium. Its description in RNAcentral is "partial 16S ribosomal RNA". It matches the Rfam family "Bacterial small subunit ribosomal RNA", at positions 354 to 796 of the family's 1533-position model. The record is from RNAcentral.